CGGCGGUGCAACCCCAAACCGCCGCCAAAAUUACACCCCAUAAUCCCCGGCAUCUCUUCUUCCUAAACCCCAAAAAUGAUUUCUCUCGAAUCCCUCUCAAUCCGCUCUUAUUUUGGAUCUAAAAUCAACACCCGAAACUUAAAGCUACAAAUUUACCCUGACCUCGGAUUUGUGGCGUGCAAAGUUAGGAUUCAAGCCUUCAAGUUCUAGUGCUGAUUUAACGUGAAAUUGAUGUUGUUCAUUGUUCUUGUCAAAGAACAUGCAACUAACAUUAGUUUUGGGUAAAUCGGAGCAACCGAAGUUUAUUUAAGUCAACUACUAGGAAUGUAAGUUGAAUCCCUAUGGCAUAUGAAUAAUACACGUGAAGCUUUAGAGUUUGUUGGUUGUUAAUAUUCAAUUGAUGCCUGUUUGCUUUGCUGGAGAUCGAUUCCAUGUUGUUGGAAUUUAUUGUACUCUGUUCCCCUCCCCAUUCUGUUUUGUAGUCUAUUAGAAGUAAGCUAAAAUUGGUCCAUGAUAGAUGUGUGUUUUGAGUUUAAACUACAUUGUAAGGGGUGGGAGGUGUUUGUGCCUCCUAAAUUGCUUUGGAAUUUUUUUUGAAGUUUCAAUCUGUUAAUACUAUGGUUUAUCAUAAGAUGUAUUUGAAGGUGAUAUGUGUAAUGGGAAAUGUUCUUUAGAAAGGAGUUGAAAGAUUACUGUUGUGGGGUAUAUGAAAUGUGGGUUCAAUAUGUUUAAAAUACAAUAUUCAGCAUGUAUAUGUU
This is a non-coding RNA of Nicotiana tabacum (common tobacco), 758 nucleotides long. The record is from RefSeq and is a predicted model, not a curated record. Lineage: Eukaryota; Viridiplantae; Streptophyta; Magnoliopsida; Solanales; Solanaceae.